This 22-nucleotide microRNA is filed under the name Strongyloides ratti. RNAcentral describes it as "str-miR-8368-3p". The record is from miRBase by way of RNAcentral. Lineage: Eukaryota; Metazoa; Nematoda; Chromadorea; Rhabditida; Strongyloididae.
CGUAUAUGAAUGAUCAGGUACC